Peromyscus maniculatus bairdii (prairie deer mouse) is the source of this 1028-nucleotide non-coding RNA. Lineage: Eukaryota; Metazoa; Chordata; Mammalia; Rodentia; Cricetidae. The record is from RefSeq and is a predicted model, not a curated record.
AGGUCUCCAGACUGAGAAGACCAGCCCAGAACAUUGUGGACAAAGGAGCCACAGUUGGGCUGGGCUUGAGAGGGAAGCAACUUGGAGAACGGAAGCCCACUCUCCGGCGGUCGGAUCCACACCCACCUCCCAAGGCUGGGGCGGAAUCGGACAGCAGUGUGAACGAGGCAGCUCUGAGCUCGCGAUGCCAGGCCCGCUCCCAGGCAGGUUCCAGAUCCCUGCCCUGGCCUGAUUUUCCUGUUCUGCCUCCCGAGGCUGCCAGAAGACACUUGAUAAAUAUGCCAGUGCUCUGGCCUUUGAGCCAGGUCUGGGGGACAUUCUUAGGCAUUAACCAAAGAAAAGCCAGAAGAAACUGAAGUCUAAAUUUGCAUUGCGCCUCAUCAAAGAAGUCAGCCUUGGUCUCUUUCUGGGUUCCACUUGGCCAGCCCCACGCUCUCACUUCUGCCUUCCUGCUGUGUCUUGACCCACCUCAGCUUCCUGCCCGUCAUGUAUUUCCCUCCCCUAGAGACCACCAAACGUCUCCACACUGCUCUGUUUCCCUCCCACCACAGGCAGUUGCUCUAACUAUUGAACUCUCAGGCACUGGGCUAAGGACAAGGGAGAGCCAGCUGACCUGAACAUCACAUGGCACAGGGAGCACUCCAAUUCUGGAACAUGCACUGCUCAGCCACUCUAGUAGAAUAAAACCAGAGGCUUUGAAGUUCCAUCCCAGUUAUGACCCAGCACUUUGGCAUACUCUGGAGAAUACAGGACAAGCCAAGGAACUCUCAGCUGAGCCUGUGUUGACUCAUCCCCAAAGCUAAAGAGUUCCCAUCCAAACUCACAGAAUCUGGAUUCUGGAGUUGCAGAGAUCCCAAGAGGCUCCUCGGGGCAACUGAAAGCUAGGACAGUCACUCUGGCUUUAUUCUCUUUCCAACACCAAUGUUCCUGAAGCUAUAUAGGAAGUGGGGGACACCAGAUAAGACACAGCAAGCAGAAUCUGUCCACUGAGAUUUCAAUGCAAUAAAUCUCAAGUAAGUUCAAAGCUC